AAUAGAUACCCUGGUAGUCCACGCCGUAAACGAUGAGUGCUAAGUGUUAGAGGGUUUCCGCCCUUUAGUGCUGCAGCUAACGCAUUAAGCACUCCGCCUGGGGAGUACGGUCGCAAGACUGAAACUCAAAGGAAUUGACGGGGGCCCGCACAAGCGGUGGAGCAUGUGGUUUAAUUCGAAGCAACGCGAAGAACCUUACCAGGUCUUGACAUCCUCUGACAACUCUAGAGAUAGAGCGUUCCCCUUCGGGGGACAGAGUGACAGGUGGUGCAUGGUUGUCGUCAGCUCGUGUCGUGAGAUGUUGGGUUAAGUCCCGCAACGAGCGCAACCCUUGAUCUUAGUUGCCAGCAUUUAGUUGGGCACUCUAAGGUGACUGCCGGUGACAAACCGGAGGAAGGUGGGGAUGACGUCAAAUCAUCAUGCCCCUUAUGACCUGGGCUACACACGUGCUACAAUGGAUGGUACAAAGGGCUGCAAGACCGCGAGGUCAAGCCAAUCCAUAAAACCAUUCUCAGUUCGGAUUGU
RNAcentral lists this ribosomal RNA (525 nucleotides) under uncultured bacterium. Its description in RNAcentral is "bacterial SSU rRNA". It matches the Rfam family "Bacterial small subunit ribosomal RNA", at positions 777 to 1301 of the family's 1533-position model. The record is from RNAcentral.